GAUGAACGCUGGCGGCGUGCUUAACACAUGCAAGUCGAACGGUGAAGGCGGAGCUUGCUCUGCUGGAUCAGUGGCGAACGGGUGAGUAACACGUGAGCAAUCUGCCCCUGACUCUGGGAUAGCGCUGGAAACGGCGUCUAAUACUGGAUACGAGCUGCGAAGGCAUCUUCAGCAGCUGGAAAGAACUUCGGUCAGGGAUGAGCUCGCGGCCUAUCAGCUUGUUGGUGAGGUAACGGCUCACCAAGGCGUCGACGGGUAGCCGGCCUGAGAGGGUGACCGGCCACACUGGGACUGAGACACGGCCCAGACUCCUACGGGAGGCAGCAGUGGGGAAUAUUGCACAAUGGGCGAAAGCCUGAUGCAGCAACGCCGCGUGAGGGACGACGGCCUUCGGGUUGUAAACCUCUUUUAGCAGGGAAGAAGCGAAAGUGACGGUACCUGCAGAAAAAGCGCCGGCUAACUACGUG
This 467-nucleotide ribosomal RNA is filed under the name uncultured bacterium. RNAcentral's name for it is "partial 16S ribosomal RNA". It matches the Rfam family "Bacterial small subunit ribosomal RNA", at positions 28 to 507 of the family's 1533-position model. The record is from RNAcentral.